This is a long non-coding RNA of Dama dama (fallow deer), 5541 nucleotides long. RefSeq lists it as uncharacterized. Lineage: Eukaryota; Metazoa; Chordata; Mammalia; Artiodactyla; Cervidae. The transcript is spliced from 3 exons. The record is from RefSeq and is a predicted model, not a curated record.
GAGCAAAGUUCCCGGCUUCUUUCUUCCUCUCGCUGCUGAUGGCAAAGCCAGAGGGUGACUGGUGACUCCUGCCCCGGCACGACCUCGGAAUCCAGCAAGACACAGCAGCUGCCAGCCGCUGGGGGAAGUGCCAAGGAAAACACUCAGAAACAGGAGCGUGGGGAGCCCAGGGGUGAUGACGCGAGCAGAGCUCAGCCACACAACUCUCAAGGCUGGGAGGCAGUGGAUGAGCAGGAAGGGGUCCAGGAAGCGGAGCGAAACCCCCCCCCCCAGCAAACCACACGGCCCGACCGCCACGGAGAGACCACUGUCAGCAAGCCUCAGGCACGCUCACCCCCCAUUCCACCCAGUACACAAGACCACCACCAUUUAAGGAAAGCUCUGUGCGGGGAGGACACAGCAGAGACAGGAAGCAUCAGCUCAAGGGACGUGGGGUCCCAGCCUGGGAAGAAACCUCAAAAGAUCCUCGGGGGGCCUCGGGCUGGCGCAGUGGAUGAGAGUCCACCUGUCAACGCAGGGGACACGGGCUCGAGUCCUGGUCUGGGAAGAUCCCACGUGCUGCAGAGCCACUCAGCCCGUGAGCCACAGCUACCCAGCCUGCGCUCCGGAGCCCGGGAGCCGCGAGUACUGAGGGCCACACUCGAGGGCUCCAUCCUCUGCAACAAGAGAAGCCCCCGAAACCAGAAGCCUGGGCACCACGACGACAGGCUAGCUGCCGCUCCCCGCGACGAGAGAAAGCCCCAGGACAGCAACACAGGUCUGUGCUGCGCGCAGUCACUCAGCUGUGUCCGACUCUGAGACCCUGCGGACUGCAGCCGCAGGCUCCUCUGUCCACGGGAUUCUCCAGGCAAGAAUGCUGGAGUGGGUUGCCACGUCAUCCUCCAGGGGAUCUUCUCUCUUAAGUGUCCUGCACUGGCAGGCGGGUUCUUUACCUUUGGCGCCACCUGGAAAGCCCCAACAAAGACCUAGCAGAGUCAAAAAAUCAAAGAAAGGAAAAAACAUCCUUGAGAGCAAGAGAAGAUUCAACAACUGUGAAACAGCAACAGGCCCGGCCAGAAAUUAUAAUCACAGAGAGAAUUUUCCAGUGGCCCAGGGGUUCAGAGUCAGUGCUUUCACAGCCGAGGGCCUGAUUCAACCCCUGGCUGGGGAACUAAGAUCCCACAAGUCACACAGUGUGGGGAAGAAAAAGUAUAUACAAACAUAUUUUAACAUUUACAUAUGUAUAGUAUAUACAUACACAUUUUAACAGAAAUAACCCCUGGAGUCCGCCGCGAACUCUCCAGGCUGAGUUGAGCUCCCUGAAACCUGAACAGAGGCCCUCGCCAGGCUCCUCGGCAGACCAUGUUUCUCCUGCGUCCUCCCCUGCAGAGGGGCUCGCUGGGCAAGACUGAGGACUCAGCGCAGAGAAAAACAAGAAACCGUCUCAACAGGCUCAGACGGUGCCCCAUAGAGGGACUGCGGGACGAAGAAGAAAAUGGGAUAAAAGUAUAAGAGAAAGAAAAUAGGAGAGAAAAGAUUCUAAAGGACAACAAUUUCCAACCCAGACUGCAAAACUCAAGACGAGGUCAAGGACGAACGUGAGCAAAGACUGUCAGACGUGCGGUGUCUCCAGAAGUUACCUCCGCAAACCCUUCACAGGAGCCGACCGGAGGAGAAACUCCACCACAACAGCGACAGGCAGAGGAAGGCACAGGGUCCGGGAGAGAGGAGGUCCCACACACCAGCAAGACAGAGGGUGACCCCAGGAAGACAGAGUGGCAGGCCAGACCGCAGCUGGCCAGGGUGUCCAGGGAGACAGCGCCAAGAAAGGGACAGAACCGAUGUGUCAGGGCGUACAGAGGGGAGACAGGACCCAGCUGGUGGGGAGACGUGCAGGCUGAAUACGUAAGCCAUAUAGAAAACUGGAUGGAAAAACAAGACAACGUUCAAGCCCAUGGAAAAGAGUCAUGCAGAUAAGAAAGUGGGGUGCAGUUCACUGCCAGUUCAGCUCUGAAGGGUGUGCGGCCCAUCACAGUGCCACAGUGCUGGGAGGAGGCAGGUGGGGAGGCAGGGUGCAGGGCUAGCGGGAGAGGCACCUCCCCCUUCCAGCAGGAGUUAAAUGAAGACCCCCCAGACUAGAAGGAUGGAGACAGAGUCCUAGAAAGCUAUUUAGGGAGACGAAGCUAAGAGACAGUCGUUCUCUCGAGCGGGGACCGUGAGGGGACACGAGGCGCCCGUGACUCACGGGGUAGACCCCGCUGACCAGUGAGCCGUCCUUACCCAGUGCCCCCAGCACUGCCCCCUGCGGCUGAGGAGGAAAGGUCGCCCGCCUCACCCUCCCACACGCCUAUCCCAGGCACCUGCAUGCAGACAGCUGGGGUGGAGUCCGCCAGUUUGCACACACAAGCCAUGCUGCCUGGGCGAGACCUGGCGGGUCAGCCUCAGAGCAGCCUGCGCCCCAGCACAGAUGGGCUUCUGUGCCCAGACAUCCAGGGUCAGGGUCGCCACCCCCCUGCCCCCAGCACAGUGAUCUCACAGAUGUGCGUGCGCUCCGGAUCCGGGGACCGGGCCGAAGAGCCUGGCGGCUCCGCAGGACGUCCUCACCCAGAGCCACUGUGCUGGCUGCCCGGGACGCCAGCUGCCCCUGGAGUCCGCUGAGGACUCUCCAGGCCGACAGUCAAGUUCCCCGGAACCUGAGCCAGAGGCCCUCGCAAGAAUCCUCAGGCACCCCAUGUUUCUCCUGCGUCCUCCUCUGCAGAGGGGCUUGCUGGGCAAGACUAAGGACUCAGCGCCGAGAAGAACAAGAAACUGAUGCCUCAACAGGCUCGAACAGUGCCCAGCGAUGAACCGUCCCUAGCAGCCAGCCAUCCUCCCCAGCGCAUCAUGAAGCAAUGCCUUUCCCCUCUCAGAGACACUGGCCAGACCAAUUUCUUGCUGCUCACCGGAAAUGCACCCUGGCUCUGCAAGUUCAAGGCUGACUUGGUCCACAGAAGCCGCAGCUGGCAACCCUCAGUGACCUGGCUUUCCUUCCUGGCUGGGACCCUGGCCUAUCCCCGCUCUGCCUGUGGCCUCUUAUCACUUCCCUCCCUCAGAGGCGGCCUCCCCCUACCCCGCCCCCGGUCACACCCAGCACGGUUCUGCAUUCAUUUAAACGUUUUUACUGUUUGAUACAAGUUUUUUUUUUUUUGGCCGAGCCUCACGGCUUGUGGGAUCUUAGUUCCCCGACCAGGAGUUGAACCCGCACCCCCUGCAGUGGAAGCAUAGAGUCCUCAGUUCAGUUCAGUUCAGUCACUCAGUCGUGUCCGACUCUUUGCGACCCCAUGAAUCGCAGCACGCCAGGCCUCCCUGUCCAUCACAAACUCCUGGAGUUUACUCAAACUCAUGCCAUCAAGUCAGUGAUGCCAUUCAGCCAUCUCAUCCUCUGUCGUCCCCUUUUCCUGCUGCCCCCAAUCCCUCCCAGCAUCAGGGUCUUUUCCAAUGAGUCAGCUCUCUUCUUAUAAGGUGGCCAAAGUAUUGGAGCUUCAGCUUCAGCAUCAGUCCUUCCAAUGAACACCCAGGACUGAUCUCCUUUAGGAUGGAGUGGUUGGAUCUCCCUGCAGUCCAAGGGACUCUCAAGAAUCUUCUCCAACACCACAGUUCAAAAGCAUCAAUUUUUCGGCGCUCAGCUUUCUUCACAGUCCAACUCUCACAUCCAUACAUGACCACUGGAAAAACCAUAGCCUUGACCAGACGGACCUUUGUUGGCAAAGUAAUGUCUCUGCUUUUUAAUAUGCUAUCUAGGUUGGUCAUAACUUUCCUUCCAAGGAGUAAGCGUCUUUUAACUUCAUGGCUGCAGUCACCAUCUGCAGUGAUUUUGGAGCCCCCAAAAAUAAAGUCUGACACUGUUUCCACUGUCUCCCCCAUCUAUUUCCCAUGAGGUGAUGGUACCAGAUGCCAUGAUCUCAGUUUUCUGAAUGUUAAGCUUUAAGCCAACUUUUUCACUCUCCUCUUUCACUUUCAUCAAGAGGCUUUUUAGUUCCUCUUCACUUUCUGCCAUAAGGGUGGUGUCAUCUGCGUAUCUGAGGUUAUUGAUAUUUCUCCCAGCAAUCUUGCUUCCAUGGCGUCCUAACCACUCAUAUUUAGUGAAACUGCAGACUCUUCACAAGAGGGGGGUGGGCGCCACCCGGCUUCACUCCCCACAUGUGGUCUCUGAACUGGGCACUUGUCAUAAACAGCAGCACAACAAGAGCUUUGGGACAUUUCUGAUUAUUUUCCAAGGUGGACUCUCGCUAGUAGGCGAUUCAGUUAGGAACGCAGGACUUACUCCCUAAGUAAUGUGAGCUCACUGCGAGACACUCACAGAGCAGGAGUAAACAGCAGGCGGGCGAGCAGUCACCGUGCCGCUGUCACCAACGCUACUGUUGGCUGGAGGUCUUCAUGGACUUUCUCAAUGCACAUGUUUUUUUUACACAAAAAUAGAAUCGUCAGACAGACUUGGUAACUGACAUUUUUAUUCAACAGUGUGCUGUGAGCACUUCUCCGUGGGAGGCAAGAUCCCUCCUCACUGCCCAUGUCCGGCAAACCUCACGGUAAACCCCCGGCCAUGUCCUCAAGGCGCAGAGGCCUCUGAGACACUAGGCAUGUAGCUCACGCGUCUCUCUCUCUCUUACUCUUUUAUAAUUUCUCUUGGGUCGCGCCGGGGCUCUGUGGCCGUGUGGGCUUUUUCUAGUGGUGGUGGCUGCUCUGACUGAGGAGCGCAGGCUCUAGGCUCCCGGGCUCCGGAGCACAGACUCAGCAGCUGUGGCACACGGGCUCAGUUCCCCUGAAGCAUCUGGGACCUUCUCGGACCAGGGAUUGAACCUGUGUCUCCUGAGUUGGCAGGCGGAUUCUUAAUCGCGAGGGAAGCCCUUCUCUUUCUCUUAUUAAAAACCAGGGACUGUUAAGAUGUGAUUGUGUCCCAAGCCUGGCAGGCAGAGCUCCGAGCUCCCCAUCCCAGGACGCCGUGCGGUGUUCCUGUGCGAGGUCGCUCACUGGGCUGUGUGGAGGGAUUGAGCCCACUGUGCCCCAGGUGCAGUGAGAAGAAUCUGAUUUCAUUACCCCAAGGCCUUGUACUGUGAUGUCAAGAGGGAACAUGAGUCUUCAGAACACGCCAAGACUCUCGGAAGCAGGCCCCAGGUUGGACCUGUAGAGUUUGGCUGUGGGGUGUGGCUGCCACCUCCUUCUGCUAUCUUGUCCCCGCCUGAGUGACCUAUGCCAGCCAUGCGGGGGGUGGGCGUGUAUGGAGCUGCAUCCAGGGUUGCCCACGUGCCCUGGCUGGUAGUAGAGAGGGUGAGGACCACUUUACCUGUGAGGUCCCAGCCGGGCAGGGUCCCUUCUCACUCUAACGCCUCUCCAAAGCAAGCCUCACUGCCCUGAGCUGUAAACUUCUCUGAGACCUGGUUGUGUAAAGUAGCAUCAACUUAUGUCCCCACCGGCACCACCUGUGAGCAUGACCUUCUCAUGGGAUUACCUGUUACCAUGCUUGCAGGUUUGUAUUUUUCAGUUGUUGUUCAUAAAGCUAAACAUACCUAGAGUAGUUGAAUU